GUGAGAUCUUUUGUUUACAGCAAGUUGUUUUAUUUAAUCUUGAUUGUUCUUAUAGGAUCGAAUCUAGCCACUUCCUUCUUCCAGAGGAAUCCAUGAGUGAGGGAAGUGUGAUGUUUUUGAAGUUGUUGGAGUUGGUUGCAAGGUGCAUCAACAUCAGCAUCAGCUGAGAUAUUCUGGUGUGUGGUUCCUAGCAUGGAGGAAGAAAUCGAACAUAGAACACCCACAAAAGACAACCUCGUAACUUCUCACAAAGGCAGCCAAGAACAGUAAUGCC
This 274-nucleotide small RNA is filed under the name Vigna angularis var. angularis. RNAcentral describes it as "Non-protein coding transcript". The record is from RNAcentral. Lineage: Eukaryota; Viridiplantae; Streptophyta; Magnoliopsida; Fabales; Fabaceae.